RNAcentral lists this ribosomal RNA (1417 nucleotides) under Klebsiella pneumoniae. RNAcentral's name for it is "bacterial LSU rRNA". It matches the Rfam family "Bacterial large subunit ribosomal RNA", at positions 1531 to 2925 of the family's 2925-position model. The record is from RNAcentral. Lineage: Bacteria; Pseudomonadati; Pseudomonadota; Gammaproteobacteria; Enterobacterales; Enterobacteriaceae.
UCCAGGCAAAUCCGGAUAAUCAAGGCUGAGGUGUGAUGACGAGGCACUACGGUGCUGAAGUAACAAAUGCCCUGCUUCCAGGAAAAGCCUCUAAGCAUCAGGUAACAUCAAAUCGUACCCCAAACCGACACAGGUGGUCAGGUAGAGAAUACCAAGGCGCUUGAGAGAACUCGGGUGAAGGAACUAGGCAAAAUGGUGCCGUAACUUCGGGAGAAGGCACGCUGGUGUGUAGGUGAAGUCCCUGCGGAUGGAGCUGAGACCAGUCGAAGAUACCAGCUGGCUGCAACUGUUUAUUAAAAACACAGCACUGUGCAAACACGAAAGUGGACGUAUACGGUGUGACGCCUGCCCGGUGCCGGAAGGUUAAUUGAUGGGGUUAUCCGUAAGGAGAAGCUCUUGAUCGAAGCCCCGGUAAACGGCGGCCGUAACUAUAACGGUCCUAAGGUAGCGAAAUUCCUUGUCGGGUAAGUUCCGACCUGCACGAAUGGCGUAAUGAUGGCCAGGCUGUCUCCACCCGAGACUCAGUGAAAUUGAACUCGCUGUGAAGAUGCAGUGUACCCGCGGCAAGACGGAAAGACCCCGUGAACCUUUACUAUAGCUUGACACUGAACAUUGAGCCUUGAUGUGUAGGAUAGGUGGGAGGCUUUGAAGCGUGGACGCCAGUCUGCGUGGAGCCAACCUUGAAAUACCACCCUUUAAUGUUUGAUGUUCUAACGUUGGCCCCUUACCGGGGUUGCGGACAGUGUCUGGUGGGUAGUUUGACUGGGGCGGUCUCCUCCCAAAGCGUAACGGAGGAGCACGAAGGUUAGCUAAUCCUGGUCGGACAUCAGGAGGUUAGUGCAAUGGCAUAAGCUAGCUUGACUGCGAGCGUGACGGCGCGAGCAGGUGCGAAAGCAGGUCAUAGUGAUCCGGUGGUUCUGAAUGGAAGGGCCAUCGCUCAACGGAUAAAAGGUACUCCGGGGAUAACAGGCUGAUACCGCCCAAGAGUUCAUAUCGACGGCGGUGUUUGGCACCUCGAUGUCGGCUCAUCACAUCCUGGGGCUGAAGUAGGUCCCAAGGGUAUGGCUGUUCGCCAUUUAAAGUGGUACGCGAGCUGGGUUUAGAACGUCGUGAGACAGUUCGGUCCCUAUCUGCCGUGGGCGCUGGAGAAUUGAGGGGGGCUGCUCCUAGUACGAGAGGACCGGAGUGGACGCAUCACUGGUGUUCGGGUUGUCAUGCCAAUGGCACUGCCCGGUAGCUAAAUGCGGAAGAGAUAAGUGCUGAAAGCAUCUAAGCACGAAACUUGCCCCGAGAUGAGUUCUCCCUGAGACUUUAAGUCUCCUGAAGGAACGUUAAAGACGAUGACGUUGAUAGGCCGGGUGUGUAAGCGCAGCGAUGCGUUGAGCUAACCGGUACUAAUGAACCGUGAGGCUUAACC